GAUGAACGCUAGCUACAGGCUUAACACAUGCAAGUCGAGGGGCAGCAUAAAUCUAGCAAUAGAUUUGAUGGCGACCGGCGCACGGGUGAGUAACACGUAUCCAACCUACCUAUUACUCGGGUAUAGCCUUUCGAAAGAAAGAUUAAUCCCAGAUACGAUAUUGAGUUCGCAUGAUUUUGAUAUGAAAAAUUUAUGGGUAUUAGAUGGGGAUGCGUUCCAGUAGUUUGUUGGUGAGGUAACGGCUCACCAAGUCUUCGAUGGAUAGGGGUUCUGAGAGGAAGGUCACCCACACUGGACCUGAGACACGGUCCAGACUCCUACGGGAGGCAGCAGUGAGGAAUAUUGGUCAAUGGGCGAGAGCCUGAACCAGCCAAGUAGCGUGAGGGAUGACUGCCCUAUGGGUUGUAAACCUCUUUUAUAAGGGAAUAAAACGCUCCACGAGUGGAGCUUUGCAUGUACCUUUUGAGUAAGGAUCGGCUAACUCCGCGCCAGCCGCCGCCGUAA
Molecule: ribosomal RNA, 504 nt
Filed under: uncultured bacterium
Lineage: Bacteria
Description: partial 16S ribosomal RNA
Rfam family: Bacterial small subunit ribosomal RNA
Source: RNAcentral